Molecule: ribosomal RNA, 501 nt
Filed under: uncultured bacterium
Lineage: Bacteria
Description: partial 16S ribosomal RNA
Rfam family: Bacterial small subunit ribosomal RNA
Source: RNAcentral
AUUGAACGCUGGCGGCAUGCCUUACACAUGCAAGUCGAACGGCAGCACGGGUGCUUGCACCUGGUGGCGAGUGGCGAACGGGUGAGUAAUACAUCGGAACGUACCUUAUCGUGGGGGAUAACGCAGCGAAAGCUGUGCUAAUACCGCAUACGCCCUGAGGGGGAAAGCGGGGGGUCGAAAGACCUCGCGCGAUUAGAGCGGCCGAUGCCUGAUUAGCUUGUUGGUGGGGUAAAAGCCCACCAAGGCGACGAUCAGUAGCUGGUCUGAGAGGACGAUCAGCCACGCUGGGACUGCGACACGGCCCAGACUCCUCCGGGAGGCAGCAGUGGGGAAUUUUGGACAAUGGGGGCAACCCUGAUCCAGCAAUGCCGCGUGAGUGAAGAAGGCCUUCGGGUUGUAAAGCUCUUUUGUCAGGGAAGAAACACCGGCUCUAACACAGUCCGGGAAUGACGGUACCCAAAGAAUAAGCACCGGCUAACUUCGUGCCAGCCGCCGCCGUAA